RNAcentral lists this ribosomal RNA (485 nucleotides) under uncultured bacterium. Its description in RNAcentral is "bacterial SSU rRNA". It matches the Rfam family "Bacterial small subunit ribosomal RNA", at positions 30 to 507 of the family's 1533-position model. The record is from RNAcentral.
AUUGAACGCUGGCGGCAUGCCUUACACAUGCAAGUCGAACGGCAGCACGGGAGCAAUCCUGGUGGCGAGUGGCGAACGGGUGAGUAAUAUAUCGGAACGUGCCCAGUCGUGGGGGAUAACGUAGCGAAAGCUACGCUAAUACCGCAUACGAUCUAUGGAUGAAAGCGGGGGAUCGCAAGACCUCGCGCGAUUGGAGCGGCCGAUAUCAGAUUAGGUAGUUGGUGAGGUAAAGGCUCACCAAGCCGACGAUCUGUAGCUGGUCUGAGAGGACGACCAGCCACACUGGGACUGAGACACGGCCCAGACUCCUACGGGAGGCAGCAGUGGGGGAAUUUUGGACAAUGGGCGAAAGCCUGAUCCAGCAAUGCCGCGUGCAGGAAGAAGGCCUUCGGGUUGUAAACUGCUUUUGUACGGAACGAAAAGGCUCUUUCUAAUAAAGAGGGCCCAUGACGGUACCGUAAGAAUAAGCACCGGCUAACUACGUG